UACGUAGGCAGCGAGCGUUGUUCGGAAUUACUGGGCGUAAAGAGUGUGUAGGCGGUGCUCCCAGUCUGUUGUGAAAUCUCCCGGCUUAACUGGGAGGGUGCAGCGGAAACUAGAGUGCUAGAGGGUGGGAGAGGUAAGCGGAAUUCCUGGUGUAGCGGUGAAAUGCGUAGAUAUCAGGAGGAACACCUGUGGUGUAGACAGCUUACUGGACCACUUCUGACGCUGAGACACGAAAGCGUGGGUAGCAAACGGG
This 253-nucleotide ribosomal RNA is filed under the name uncultured bacterium. RNAcentral describes it as "partial 16S ribosomal RNA". It matches the Rfam family "Bacterial small subunit ribosomal RNA", at positions 524 to 776 of the family's 1533-position model. The record is from RNAcentral.